Notothenia coriiceps (black rockcod) is the source of this 122-nucleotide long non-coding RNA. RefSeq lists it as uncharacterized. Lineage: Eukaryota; Metazoa; Chordata; Actinopteri; Perciformes; Nototheniidae. The transcript has 3 exons. The record is from RefSeq and is a predicted model, not a curated record.
GAAUUCUUAAUAAUAAUAUUAAUAAUGCAUCACAUUUUGUAUUAGAGCGUUUUUGCAGGUGCUCAAAGCGCUUUACAAUUACACAUUACACAUAUUAGACAUGUAAGAGUCAUUACUGUGGA